GGUUAUAGCUCAGUGGUAAAGUGCUUGCCUAGCACGUGUGAGGCACUGGGUUCAAUUCUCAGCACCA
This 67-nucleotide transfer RNA is filed under the name Marmota monax (woodchuck). RNAcentral describes it as "tRNA.Ala". Lineage: Eukaryota; Metazoa; Chordata; Mammalia; Rodentia; Sciuridae. The record is from RNAcentral.